CCCCCGUGAUUGGUGCGGACUUUAUGACUGCAAAGUAUCUUAGCCAAAUGAGACAACAAAUUUUGGAAGAAAAAUUUGAAUUGGAUAAAUAUUUAGAGGAAGGAUGUGAAAGUUAUAACCCCAACUUUGAUAUCUUAACUUGGUGGAAAGUUAAUUCUUCGAGAUAUUCUAUCCUCUCUUCCAUCGCUCGAGAUAUUUUGGCCGUGCCCAUCUCGACUGUAGCAUCAGAGGCCGCAUUCAGCACAAGAGGUCAUAUACUCGAUGUCUUUCGUAGCGCCUUGACCCCAAGCAUGGUGGAGGGUCUUAUAUGUGCUCAAGAUUGGCUACGAUCCUCGCCACUUUCACUUUCAAUUGAGGAUGACUUUGAAGAACAAGAAAAUUUUGAGUCAGAAUGUUCAACUACAAUUAUGGAGCCGAACUCGAUAUCGGUUUCUCUUGAUGAUUGACGAAGUUGGAAAUUGGUACUUGUUAAACCAAUUUUUUUUUAAUUUUUAUUGCAAAUUUACUUUUUCAUAUUCAGAUUAGGCAUUUAGUAAUUGUUGUAUUCUUCAUUUCUUACUUGCAAGUUGACCUUACUAAAGAAUGAUUUUCUUUCUUUCCAAAUCUCGGAUGUGGGGUUAUUAUCA
This is a long non-coding RNA of Syzygium oleosum, 626 nucleotides long. RefSeq lists it as uncharacterized. The record is from RefSeq and is a predicted model, not a curated record. NCBI's taxonomy places the organism in Eukaryota, Viridiplantae, Streptophyta, Magnoliopsida, Myrtales, Myrtaceae. The transcript has 2 exons.